GAUGAACGCUGGCGGCGUGCCUAAUACAUGCAAGUCGAGCGAACAGAUGAGGAGCUUGCUCCUCUGACGUUAGCGGCGGACGGGUGAGUAACACGUGGAUAACCUACCUAUAAGACUGGGAUAACUUCGGGAAACCGGAGCUAAUACCGGAUAAUAUAUUGAACCGCAUGGUUCAAUAGUGAAAGACGGUUUUGCUGUCACUUAUAGAUGGAUCCGCGCCGCAUUAGCUAGUUGGUAAGGUAACGGCUUACCAAGGCAACGAUGCGUAGCCGACCUGAGAGGGUGAUCGGCCACACUGGAACUGAGACACGGUCCAGACUCCUACGGGAGGCAGCAGUAGGGAAUCUUCCGCAAUGGGCGAAAGCCUGACGGAGCAACGCCGCGUGAGUGAUGAAGGUCUUCGUAUCGUAAAACUCUGUUAUUAGGGAAGAACAAAUGUGUAAGUAACUAUGCACGUCUUGACGGUACCUAAUCAGAAAGCCACGGCUAACUACGUG
This 497-nucleotide ribosomal RNA is filed under the name uncultured bacterium. Its description in RNAcentral is "partial 16S ribosomal RNA". It matches the Rfam family "Bacterial small subunit ribosomal RNA", at positions 28 to 507 of the family's 1533-position model. The record is from RNAcentral.